Molecule: ribosomal RNA, 373 nt
Filed under: uncultured organism
Description: bacterial SSU rRNA
Rfam family: Bacterial small subunit ribosomal RNA
Source: RNAcentral
CGUAGGGUCCAAGCGUUAUCCGGAAUUACUGGGCGUAAAGAGUUGCGUAGGUGGCAUGUAAAGCGAAUAGUGAAAGCGUGUGGCUCAACCAUACAUCCAUUAUUUGAACUCACAAGCUAGAAGACGAGAGAGGUAGAUGGAAUUCCUGAUGUAGGGGUAAUAUCCGUAGAUAUCAGGAGGAACACCGAUGGCGUAGGCAGUCUACUGGCUCGUUCUUGACACUAAUGCACGAAAGCGUGGGGAGCAAACAGGAUUAGAUACCCUGGUAGUCCACGCCGUAAACUAUGGAUGCUAGCUGUAAGCCGUAUCGACCCGGCUUGUAGCGAAGCUAACGCGUUAAGCAUCCCGCCUGUGGAGUACGGUCGCAAGACUA